This 253-nucleotide ribosomal RNA is filed under the name uncultured bacterium. RNAcentral describes it as "partial 16S ribosomal RNA". It matches the Rfam family "Bacterial small subunit ribosomal RNA", at positions 524 to 776 of the family's 1533-position model. The record is from RNAcentral.
UACGUAGGUGACCAGCGUUGUCCGGAUUUACUGGGCGUAAAGAGCGCGCAGGCGGUUGUUCAAGUCGAGUGUGAAAGCCCCCGGCUCAACUGGGGAGGGUCACUCGAUACUGAUCGACUUGAAGGCAGGAGAGGGAAGCGGAAUUCCCGGUGUAGUGGUGAAAUGCGUAGAUAUCAGGAGGAACACCAGUGGCGAAGGCGGCUACCUGGCCCAUUCUUGACGCUGAGGCGCGAAAGCUAGGGGAGCAAACGGG